AAUAGAUACCCGGGUAGUCCACGCCGUAAACGAUGGAUACUAGCUGUUGGGGGUAUCGACCCCCCCAGUAGCGAAGCUAACGCGUUAAGUAUCCCGCCUGUGGAGUACGGUCGCAAGACUAAAGCAUAAAGGAAUUGACGGGGACCCGCACAAGCGGUGGAUUGUGUUCUUUAAUUCGAUGAUAAACGAAGAACCUUACCAGGGUUUGACAUCCCUUGAAUUAUGCCGAAAGGCGUGAGUGCUUUAUUGAACAAGGUGACAGGUGAUGCAUGGCCGUCGUCAGCUCGUGUCGUGAGAUGUUUGGUUAAGUCCAUCAACGAGCGCAACCCUUGUCUUCAGUUGGAUUUUUUCUGAAGAGACUGCCCCCGGCAACGGGGAGGAAGGAGGGGAUGAUGUCAGGUCAGUAUUUCCCUUACAUCCUGGGCUAGAAACGCAAUACAAUGGCGAGUACAAUGCGCAGCGAAGCGGCAACGUGAAGCAAAUCGCAUCAAAACUCGUCCCAGUUCGGAUUAGAGGCUGAAACUCGCCUCUAUGAAGUCGG
Molecule: ribosomal RNA, 541 nt
Filed under: uncultured bacterium
Lineage: Bacteria
Description: bacterial SSU rRNA
Rfam family: Bacterial small subunit ribosomal RNA
Source: RNAcentral